GUGCCAGCGCCGCGGUAAUACCGGCAGCCCAAGUGAUGGCCGCUGUUAUUGGGCCUAAAGCGUCCGUAGCUGGCUGCGCAAGUCCGUCGGGAAAUCCACCCGCCCAACGGGUGGGCGUCCGGUGGAAACUGCGUGGCUUGGGACCGGAAGGCGCGACGGGUACGUCCGGGGUAGGAGUGAAAUCCCGAAAUCCUGGACGGACCGCCGAUGGAGAAAGCACGUCGCGAAGACGGAUCCGACAGUGAGGGACGAAAGCUAGGGUCUCGAACCGGAUUAGAAACCCGUGUAGUCC
Molecule: ribosomal RNA, 292 nt
Filed under: uncultured bacterium
Lineage: Bacteria
Description: partial 16S ribosomal RNA
Rfam family: Archaeal small subunit ribosomal RNA
Source: RNAcentral